RNAcentral lists this ribosomal RNA (253 nucleotides) under uncultured bacterium. RNAcentral describes it as "partial 16S ribosomal RNA". It matches the Rfam family "Bacterial small subunit ribosomal RNA", at positions 524 to 776 of the family's 1533-position model. The record is from RNAcentral.
UACGGGGGGGGCAAGCGUUGUUCGGAAUUACUGGGCGUAAAGCGCGUGUAGGCGGCAACGCAAGUCGGGCGUGAAAUCCCACGGCUCAACCGUGGAAGUGCACUCGAAACUGCGUAGCUAGAGUCCUGGAGAGGAAGGUGGAAUGCUUGGUGUAGAGGUGAAAUUCGUAGAUAUCAAGCGGAACACCGGUGGCGAAGGCGGCCUUCUGGACAGUGACUGACGCUGAGACCCGAAAGCGUGGGGAGCAAACAGG